RNAcentral lists this long non-coding RNA (693 nucleotides) under Homo sapiens (human). RNAcentral's name for it is "non-protein coding lnc-OSR2-3:1". The record is from RNAcentral. Lineage: Eukaryota; Metazoa; Chordata; Mammalia; Primates; Hominidae.
CGGGGCCGCUACUAAAGCCCAAGACUCCCGGCCUGGGGCAGCCUGGGGAGGGACGCGGGCGGGGACGGAGCUCGGCGUGCUUGCUGCUGGAGGGUGAUGGCCCUGCAAGGCUGUGGGCUCCGACCUCACCGGGAGUCGACAGCGAGAGGUUCGCCGAAGAGCGAGGUUCUGGGCGAGCGCUGAACGCCGGCCCCAAGCACCCCGGGUCUUUACACAGUCCGCGUCCACAGACUCUGACGAAGACGUGGAUCUGCUCUCGCUUUAGCUGCUCGCGGUCCUCCAGAUCAUGUCCGCGACUCCUGCGACUCCGCGCGGAAAAAAAAGUUUGCCAGGCGUGGACUCAAUGACCUUUCCAAGCUGUGCGCCUCGCUGCCUGGACCGGGUCUGAGCGCGGCUGCCCAGGUUGACCUUUCUGCGGGAGCUUCACUGAACUGAAAUAAGUGUGUACACAUCUUCCUUGGUGACAGCCAGUCAAGUAAAUUUUACAAAAUUUCUCCACAUGCCUGGAAAUUCCUGUGAAGAAGACUGAUGAAAGAAAAGUAGCCUCAGCUCCACCAACAUAUUUAUGACUUUUCAUUGGUUUAAGUUUCUUUCCUUGCAAGAUUAAAAGUAACCAGUGGUCUGAAACGGGACGGUGGAGAAAUGACAGCAGAUGAUGAUCGCUGUUAUUUCCUGAAAGGGAGUGUGGGAACU